AUCUCUUCGGAGACAUUUGAUAGAAUUAAAACAACACAGAGAAGAUUAGCAUGGGCCAUGUGCAAGGAUGACACGCACAAAUCAAGAAAUGGUCUAAAUUUUU
Small nuclear RNA from Amaranthus tricolor (Joseph's coat), 103 nucleotides. The record is from RefSeq and is a predicted model, not a curated record. Lineage: Eukaryota; Viridiplantae; Streptophyta; Magnoliopsida; Caryophyllales; Amaranthaceae.